RNAcentral lists this transfer RNA (62 nucleotides) under Whitmania laevis. RNAcentral's name for it is "tRNA-Lys". Lineage: Eukaryota; Metazoa; Annelida; Clitellata; Hirudinida; Haemopidae. The record is from RNAcentral. RNAcentral also lists the same sequence under 1 other name.
GAUUAAAGAGCUUGAUUUAUAGCGUAUAACUUUUAAUUAUAAGAUAUCUUUGAUUUUAAUCA